GACGAACGCUGGCGGCGUGCUUAACACAUGCAAGUCGAGCGGAAAGGCCCUUCGGGGUACUCGAGCGGCGAACGGGUGAGUAACACGUGAGCAACCUGCCCUAGGCUUUGGGAUAACCCCGGGAAACCGGGGCUAAUGCCGAAUAGGACCUCCGGCCGCAUGGCUGGGGGUGGAAAGUUUUUCGGCCUGGGAUGGGCUCGCGGCCUAUCAGCUUGUUGGUGGGGUGAUGGCCUACCAAGGCGACGACGGGUAGCCGGCCUGAGAGGGCGACCGGCCACACUGGGACUGAGACACGGCCCAGACUCCUACGGGAGGCAGCAGUGGGGAAUAUUGCACAAUGGGCGGAAGCCUGAUGCAGCGACGCCGCGUGAGGGAUGACGGCCUUCGGGUUGUAAACCUCUUUCAGCAGGGACGAAGCGUAAGUGACGGUACCUGCAGAAGAAGCGCCGGCCAACUACGUGCCAGCAGCCGCCGUAA
Molecule: ribosomal RNA, 477 nt
Filed under: uncultured bacterium
Lineage: Bacteria
Description: partial 16S ribosomal RNA
Rfam family: Bacterial small subunit ribosomal RNA
Source: RNAcentral